Molecule: long non-coding RNA, 209 nt
Organism: Nerophis ophidion (straightnose pipefish)
Lineage: Eukaryota; Metazoa; Chordata; Actinopteri; Syngnathiformes; Syngnathidae
Exons: 3
Source: RefSeq, a predicted model, not a curated record
UUCACCGGAGGACAGAAGAUGGCGUGGACAGCCAUUAAACAAAAAGUUCAUGGAUUUGGAGCCACAUGGAAUAUUGAAGGACGUUGACUUUCAGGAAUUUGGUCUCAACAGCCUACGCAAGCAAUAUGUUGAAGGCAGAAGAGAUCUCAUCAUACGUUGCCUAAUGGUGUUCCUUGGAGAGUUGGGAGAGGAGCUAAUCAAAGACUGCC